RNAcentral lists this transfer RNA (69 nucleotides) under Camelus bactrianus (Bactrian camel). It matches the Rfam family "tRNA". Rfam says of the family: Transfer RNA (tRNA) molecules are approximately 80 nucleotides in length. Their secondary structure includes four short double-helical elements and three loops (D, anti-codon, and T loops). The record is from Rfam by way of RNAcentral. RNAcentral also lists the same sequence under 2 other names. Lineage: Eukaryota; Metazoa; Chordata; Mammalia; Artiodactyla; Camelidae.
GGGCAUAGCUCAGUGCUAGAGUGCAUGCUUAGCAUGCAUAGGUCCUAGGUUCAAUUCCCAGUAUGUCCA